GGGGUUUUCGAAGCGCGAGGUCUUUGGGCCACCUCCCAUCCGUGUCUAUUGUACCCUGUUGCUUCGGCGGGCCCGCCGCUUGUCGGCCGCCGGGGGGGCGCCUCUGCCCCCCGGGCCCGUGCCCGCCGGAGACCCCAACACGAACACUGUCUGAAAGCGUGCAGUCUGAGUUGAUUGAAUGCAAUCAGUUAAAACUUUCAACAAUGGAUCUCUUGGUUCCGGCAUCGAUGAAGAACGCAGCGAAAUGCGAUAACUAAUGUGAAUUGCAGAAUUCAGUGAAUCAUCGAGUCUUUGAACGCACAUUGCGCCCCCUGGUAUUCCGGGGGGCAUGCCUGUCCGAGCGUCAUUGCUGCCCUCAAGCCCGGCUUGUGUGUUGGGUCGCCGUCCCCCUCUCCGGGGGGACGGGCCCGAAAGGCAGCGGCGGCACCGCGUCCGAUCCUCGAGCGUAUGGGGCUUUGUCACAUGCUCUGUAGGAUUGGCCGGCGCCUGCCGACGUUUUCCAACCAUUCUUUCCAGGUUGACCUCGGAUCAGGUAGGGAUACCCGCUGAACUUAAGCAUAUCAAUAAGCGGAGGAA
This 576-nucleotide ribosomal RNA is filed under the name Aspergillus niger. Its description in RNAcentral is "eukaryotic LSU rRNA". The stretch from base 193 to 346 matches the Rfam family "5.8S ribosomal RNA". The record is from RNAcentral. Lineage: Eukaryota; Fungi; Ascomycota; Eurotiomycetes; Eurotiales; Aspergillaceae.